AGAAUCAUUGUUCGUUUUAUCACUGCUGUGACUCCAGCUCCCAGCGUGCUUAAUUUUGGGAUGGAUGGCUAAAGGACUUUCCCCCGGAGCCUGGAGCCGUCAUACGCUGAGGGGUCUCGCUUUGUCGCCUAGACGAAUGCAGUGGCGCGAUCACAGUUCAAGUAACCUCACAUUCCUGUGCUCAAGUGAUCCUCCUGCCUCAGCCUUUGGAGUACUUGGGACUACAGGCGCGCACAACCGCGCCCGGCUAAUUUUUAAAAUUUUUUUGUAGAGCCAGGGGUCCCACUUUGUUGCCCAGGCUAGUCCCCAACUCCUGGCCUCAAGCAAUCCUCCCGCUUCAGCCUCUCAAAAUGCUGGGAUUACGCGCGUGAGCCACCAGCCUGGCUUACUUCCGUCAUCAUACCCUGUCUCUGGCUGGCAUGAGAUGGAUAGUGAGAUAGAACUUCCCAUUUUGUGUUCCCAGGACCUGGAGGAAAUCUACAGGUGUGAAACAAGACAACUCUGGUCCUUAUUUCCCUAUGGGAUGGGUGGGGCUCUAUUUAGGUGUUACCAGCAGAGUAGACAGACAUGUCACUCAGUGGCCAGGGCUUUGAUGGAUCCAGAGGGCUGAGGGAGCUGUCCACCCCAGGCUGGAGGGUCAAGGAAGCCUUCUUUCUGGGAGGGUACCCUCAAGCUAAGACCUGAAGAACGAGUAGGAGCUGGGUUAAGAGGAAGGUAGGGAAGAGUCUUGAGGAGGAUGGCACGUACGGACGGUUCUGGUUGCUGCAAGCACUUCACUACGGUCAGGGCAUAGGAAAGGAGCUCUAACUUGAAAGCCAUGAUUGGGCUGUGGAGGUUUUGAGAACCUCAUGAAUUUUUAUGCAAAAUUCCAUGUACCUCUGUAUUCUCCAAUGCAGUGGUUCAUGGCAUCAUUUGUGGGUUCCAAAAAGGACUUAUGGCUCCUCAGAACAAAAUAAACACUGAUUUGAUAUUCAAAGGGGGAGCAGAAAGAGAGGGCGCCAGCGAUGUUACCAGGUGCUAGGCCAUGCAGGGCCUCAUAAGCCAUAGUAAGUGGCUUGACCUCCUUUAUUCUGAAGGGAGUGGGCAUCAAGGGACUGGAGAUGAGACGUGUGAGAAAAACUGGCUGAGAACAGAGGAAGAGCUUCCCCAUUUGCAUUCCCUUGAGGUCUGGAGUUGUGGAAGAAAGCCAAGGAGGUCCCUAUUUACCAACCCAGAUUCCUAGGCAUUACCAGGAGAGGCCAGCAGAGGGCGCUGUAGCCCAGCAUAUGGACAUGAAGGGAAGGGGACUUUCCAGACUAAAGGCCCUGCCACCUCCUCUCUGGCGCAUUCUAGGGUCCCUUUUAGCCACCAACCUUGGUUCCUUCUCACGUUCUGAUGCCCUACCCGAGAUUCUGAGACUAGUCAGUUUCCCUCCCUUGUUUUUGUUGCCCAUCUCCCCUUCACAAGGCUCUGAGCUCCCACCAGGGAAGAUUGGGGCUGAAUUGGCUUCUCCUGUGGCCCAGCAUUGUCUCUCACAAGGAGCCAGGAACACAGCAUGUAUGAGGGAACGAAGACAUAAGGUUGCUAAGGAAGGGGAAGAUGGGCCAUGGGGAUGCAAUCUGGAGUCUUUUACCCUGGCUCACUCCUCCAGGAAGCCCUCCCUGCACACCACCCCAGGCUCUCACAGCUGACCACUUGGUGCUGGCAGGUCUUUGUUCUCUCUGGAGUGGGAGCUCUGUGAGAACGGGGUCCAGGACUGCCGUGGCCAUACUAUGUCCCCAGCACUGUCCAGGACAGCUGAAGAACACAGCAGGUGGCUCACACACACUGGCUGAAACAUGAAGCUCCUGGAAUCCCCAUGAGCCCCAAACACAGAACAGGCAGGAACUGUCCUCCGUGCUGCACACAGGCCAGGCCUGAGGCAGGUGGUCUGUGGAUGCCCAGUGAUGAUGCCAAACAAACCAGCCCUGGUCUCUGCCCCAUCAGUCCCACCCAUCCCUCCACCUAGAGGCCUGUUCCAUGUCCUUUACUCAAAAACUCCUGGAGGGAUUUUAGACUGUGAGAGGUAGAGAACAAGAGAAGCACUUUAAAAAUGAACUAGUGGAUUUUAAACCAGGGACCCUUGUUUAAGCGUGCAUUUUUAGCACCAAAAUCGGGGCCAGGCACAUGAAUCCCUCAGUUAAGUUGUUUAAUGAAUGAGUAAAUAAUUUCCCUUUAAAGAGGCCCCCACCCCAAUUAACGGCCAACUGCAGUAACACUUCAGGGUUUCAACCCUGCUUCCUUCCUGCUAGGAGGUGCCAUGUCAUUUAUUCAAAGAAAACAAAACGAAACCAAACAAAACAGGGCAAACACAUUUCUUAAUAAGUGCAGUUUGUUAAAAUCAUGUUAAAACAUAUGAGUCAAGGGGAAGUAAAAAUAAA
Homo sapiens (human) is the source of this 2399-nucleotide long non-coding RNA. RefSeq lists it as uncharacterized. The transcript is spliced from 2 exons. NCBI's taxonomy places the organism in Eukaryota, Metazoa, Chordata, Mammalia, Primates, Hominidae. The record is from RefSeq and is a predicted model, not a curated record.